This 205-nucleotide long non-coding RNA is filed under the name Salvia miltiorrhiza (redroot sage). RNAcentral's name for it is "long non-coding RNA (SMIL_LNC011939)". Lineage: Eukaryota; Viridiplantae; Streptophyta; Magnoliopsida; Lamiales; Lamiaceae. The record is from RNAcentral.
UCUGUUGGAUUCGGAGAUUGCUCUGCCCGGACGGAACCCUUUUUCAUGGCUGAUCUCAGUGCAUCUACUACGGAAGAGGAUCUGUUUGCCCAAACGGAUCCUGAUUCAGAGGCAGAAACAAAAACCGAAGAGGAUCCUGAAUCCAUUUUUAUGACUGUGAUUGAUCCUUUGGUUGAUGAUUUUGUUGAGAAUUUCAGGGAAGAGG